Molecule: non-coding RNA, 88 nt
Filed under: human gut metagenome
Description: THF riboswitch
Rfam family: THF (Tetrahydrofolate) riboswitch aptamer
About the family: THF riboswitch presents a pseudoknot that joins P1-P2 and the loop of P3 and two THF binding.
Source: RNAcentral
CAGAGUAGUUAACAAGCGUUAAGUGCCUCAUUACGGGAAGUAUAGUGAGGACGAAGGUAAUCCCGCGGUUUGUUAGCGCAUCCGCUGU